This 631-nucleotide ribosomal RNA is filed under the name uncultured eukaryote. RNAcentral describes it as "SSU rRNA". It matches the Rfam family "Eukaryotic small subunit ribosomal RNA", at positions 608 to 1257 of the family's 1831-position model. The record is from RNAcentral.
AGUUGUUGCAGUUAAAAAGCUCGUAGUUGGACUUUAGGCAAGGCGGCCUGGUCACCCUCUGGGUGUACUGGGAUCGCUGCGCCUCACCUUCGGGGAGCUAGUCGUGCUUCGGUGCGCUAGGGAACCGAGCCUUACCUUGAGGAAAUUAGAGUGUUUAAAGCAGGCUUAUGCUUGAAUACGUUAGCAUGGAAUAACAUGAUAGGACUUUGGUUCUAUUUUGUUGGUUUGAGGACCAAAGUAAUGAUUAAUAGGGACAGUUGGGGGCAUUAGUAUUCAAUAGUCAGAGGUGAAAUUCUUGGAUUUAUUGAAGACUAACUAAUGCGAAAGCAUUUGCCAAGGAUGUUUUCAUUAAUCAAGAACGAAAGUUAGGGGAUCGAAGACGAUUAGAUACCGUCGUAGUCUUAACCAUAAACUAUGCCGACUAGGGAUCGGUGGAAGUCGAUUUUGACUCCAUCGGCACCUUACGAGAAAUCAAAGUUUUUGGGUUCUGGGGGGAGUAUGGUCGCAAGGCUGAAACUUAAAGGAAUUGACGGAAGGGCACCACCAGGAGUGGAGCCUGCGGCUUAAUUUGACUCAACACGGGAAAACUCACCAGGUCCGGACAUGGGAAGGAUUGACAGAUUGAGAGCUC